RNAcentral lists this long non-coding RNA (520 nucleotides) under Sinocyclocheilus anshuiensis. RNAcentral's name for it is "lncRNA (ENSSANG00000006204.1)". The record is from RNAcentral. Lineage: Eukaryota; Metazoa; Chordata; Actinopteri; Cypriniformes; Cyprinidae.
GCAUGGGGUCGCUCUGGCUAAAACAGCAUACAUGGAGAAUUUCAAAAGGCUUGCGCAUUAACGUGGUUAACUGUUCCACCGCGUGUUAUUGACUUUUUCCCUUCGUCCACUUUUGCGCAAAGGGAGAGUGUUGUAAGCGGUCCCUGUGGAUAUACUGUGUCUUCAUGAGGAGUUGAGCGCAAAUAAGGGGGCGGGUGAUGAUAAUGUGUGAAGAGUGGCAGUAACUUCUCACUGCACGGCAACAUUUUCCGUUCUUCUUCAGGCGAUAUGCCCUUUCUUUCUAAAGAAGCUCCAAGGAGGAAGGCUGGUGGUGCACGGCAACAUUUUCCGUUCUUCUUCAGGCGAUAUGCCCUUUCUUUCUAAAGAAGCUCCAAGGAGGAAGGCUGGUGGUGGACAUGGUGAAAAUGACAGAGAAAAAGUGCCUCAAAUUGCAUUGCUGGAACUUACCAGGCUACCCAUAGAGGAAAUACACACACUGAAGCACUCCUCAAAUUGCAUGGGGCCCCCAUCUAAGGUGUGA